RNAcentral lists this ribosomal RNA (1420 nucleotides) under Tryblidiopsis sinensis. Its description in RNAcentral is "eukaryotic LSU rRNA". It matches the Rfam family "Eukaryotic large subunit ribosomal RNA", at positions 54 to 1414 of the family's 3401-position model. Lineage: Eukaryota; Fungi; Ascomycota; Leotiomycetes; Rhytismatales; Rhytismataceae. The record is from RNAcentral.
AACGGAAGAGAACAACAGGGAUUGCCUCAGUAACGGCGAGUGAAGCGGCAACAGCUCAAAUUUGAAAGCUGGCUCUUUUCGGGGCCCGCGUUGUAAUUUGUAGAGGAUGCUUCGGGUGCGGCGCUGGUCUAAGUUCUUUGGAACAAGACGUCACAGAGGGUGAGAAUCCCGUAUGCGACUGGUUGCCUGCGCCUGUGUGAAGCUCCUUCGACGAGUCGAGUUGUUUGGGAAUGCAGCUCAAAAUGGGUGGUGUACUUCAUCUAAAGCUAAAUAUUGGCCAGAGACCGAUAGCGCACAAGUAGAGUGAUCGAAAGAUGAAAAGCACUUUGGAAAGAGAGUUAAACAGUACGUGAAAUUGUUGAAAGGGAAGCGCUUGCAAUCAGACUUGCGCAGCGCCGAUCAGCCUGGGUUCUCCCUGGUGCACUCGGCGCUGCUCAGGCCAGCAUCAGUUUCGGCGGUUGGAUAAAGGCUUGGGGAACGUAGGUCGCCUCGGCGACUGUUAUAGCCCCAGGUGCAAUGCAGCCUGCUGGGACUGAGGACCGCGCUUCGGCUAGGAUGCUGGCGUAAUGGUUGUAAGCGACCCGUCUUGAAACACGGACCAAGGAGUCUAACAUCUAUGCGAGUAUUUGGGUGUCAAACCCAUAUGCGUAAUGAAAGUGAACGGAGGUGAGAACCCUUAAGGGUGCAUCAUCGACCGAUCCUGAUGUCUUCGGAUGGAUUUGAGUAAGAGCAUAGCUGUUAGGUCCCGAAAGAUGGUAGCAGCGUAUUUUGCCAUUGGGAGCUGUUGCCUUGCAACAGCUAGUGGGCUUCAAAGCCUGCGAGACUUCCAAUUUGCUGGGAAAUGUCGGGCUUCAAAAGCCUGGCAAAUCAGCAGCUGCUUUUUACAAGCAGUCAACAGACUAAAUAGAAGUCGGUUGCCUACAUGGCAGCUUGAGAUAUAGCCGAGCGCCCCCUAGCAAUAGGGAGCAUCAGCUGGAACUAUGCCUGAAUAGGGUGAAGCCAGGGGAAACCCUGGUGGAGGCUCGUAGAGGUCCUGACGUGCAAAUCGGUCUUCAAAUUUGGGUAUAGGGGCGAAAGACUAAUCGAACCAUUGGAAACCAGCCUUCUAGGUGGUUGAGAGGCCUGCAAGGCCUAGUCGCCCAUGGCGGCGAUACUGUAAAACUGCGGGGACCGCUCCAUAGAUGCAGGCUACCACAGCGGGCUCGAAAGGGCCUGCCACGGUAACAAGGCCUGGCAGCUGAGCCGAUCCGCAACCUAAGCCUAUCGCUAUUUCCCUACCCGGAGGUCAGCUAUCUAUUGCUGACUUCCUACCCGGAGAUCCAGCCAAGGCUUCAGGCACACAGACUAGAUGACAGUGGGUGCGCAGCGCCUAAGGUAUAGUCGAUCUCCCCGGCUGGCGCCGGGGGUGCAGAAACUAGGA